CAGAACGAACGCUGGCGGCGUGCUUAACACAUGCAAGUCGAACGCGAAAGGGACUUCGGUCCUGAGUAAAGUGGCGCACGGGUGAGUAACGCGUAGAUAACCUGUCUUCAUGUCUGGAAUAAUACGCCGAAAGGGGUACUAAUACCGGAUAUUCUUGCUUUUCAUAAGUUAUGCAAGCAAAGGUGGCCUCUGCAUAUGCUACUGCAUGAAGAGGGGUCUGCGUACCAUUAGCUAGUAGGUGGGGUAAUGGCCUACCUAGGCGACGAUGGUUAGCGGGUCUGAGAGGAUGAUCCGCCACACUGGCACUGGAACACGGGCCAGGCUCCUACGGGAGGCAGCAGUGAGGAAUAUUGCGCAAUGGGGGAAACCCUGACGCAGCGACGCCGCGUGAAGUGAGGAAGGCCUUCGGGUCGUAAAGCUCUGUCAAGAGGAAAGAAGUGUACAAUGGCUAAUACCUGUUGUAUUUGACGGUACCUCUAAAGGAAGCACCGGCUAACUCCGUGCCAGCCGCGGC
RNAcentral lists this ribosomal RNA (514 nucleotides) under uncultured bacterium. Its description in RNAcentral is "bacterial SSU rRNA". It matches the Rfam family "Bacterial small subunit ribosomal RNA", at positions 25 to 518 of the family's 1533-position model. The record is from RNAcentral.